Molecule: ribosomal RNA, 562 nt
Filed under: Staphylococcus aureus
Lineage: Bacteria; Bacillati; Bacillota; Bacilli; Caryophanales; Staphylococcaceae
Description: bacterial SSU rRNA
Rfam family: Bacterial small subunit ribosomal RNA
Source: RNAcentral
ACCAAAUCUUGACAUCCUUUGACAACUCUAGAGAUAGAGCUUUCCCCUUCGGGGGACAAAGUGACAGGUGGUGCAUGGUUGUCGUCAGCUCGUGUCGUGAGAUGUUGGGUUAAGUCCCGCAACGAGCGCAACCCUUAAGCUUAGUUGCCAUCAUUAAGUUGGGCACUCUAAGUUGACUGCCGGUGACAAACCGGAGGAAGGUGGGGAUGACGUCAAAUCAUCAUGCCCCUUAUGAUUUGGGCUACACACGUGCUACAAUGGACAAUACAAAGGGCAGCGAAACCGUGAGGUCAAGCAAAUCCCAUAAAGUUGUUCUCAGUUCGGAUUGUAGUCUGCAACUCGACUACAUGAAGCUGGAAUCGCUAGUAAUCGUAGAUCAGCAUGCUACGGUGAAUACGUUCCCGGGUCUUGUACACACCGCCCGUCACACCACGAGAGUUUGUAACACCCGAAGCCGGUGGAGUAACCUUUUAGGAGCUAGCCGUCGAAGGUGGGACAAAUGAUUGGGGUGAAGUCGUAACAAGGUAGCCGUAUCGGAAGGUGCGGCUGGAUCACCUCCUUU